This 737-nucleotide long non-coding RNA is filed under the name Homo sapiens (human). RNAcentral describes it as "non-protein coding lnc-NARF-2:1". Lineage: Eukaryota; Metazoa; Chordata; Mammalia; Primates; Hominidae. The record is from RNAcentral.
CUCUGGGUGGCACAGUGGCGUCAGCGUCUGUUUUGCUAACUCUGGGCAUCUCAUCCUAACUGUGCCCAGCCACACGGAGGGCCUCAGAGAGGGGCAGAGAAGUGCAUUUUGGGUGGCUGCAUUUGCCAUCCAAUAUCCUAGUUGGAAUCGGGAGACCUUGCAUCAAGCCAGGACACAGGACCGCUGUUGGAUGCCAUGGUCUGAGCAGCAAUGUGGCCCUCAUCUGAGGUGUGUGCUGGGUCUGCCUCUGCACCAGCUAGGUGUCCUGGUAAGUUAAGUAACACUUCGCCUGCUCUCUGUUGCCCCUAAGCCUUUGUCUCGCAUCAAUCUUGGCAGAAUCCUCCUGUUCCUCUGUCUUCGGCUUUAGCCACCAUCAGGGCGUGUGUCCUGCUAUUUCCCCACUCGUUUUUGCCCUGUAAAGGAAAGACCAUGUAGCAGCUGGCACUCCUUCCCCACUCCAGGCCCGGUGUCCUGGGCUGUGGCACCUGAAGAUUCUGUCCCUGAGCCAGUCUGGACACAGCCAGGCGGCAGCACUGGCAUUUUGGGAUGUCAGUGCAUCAUCAUGGGCACUGUGUGUCCACGUGGGAUGCCAGGACCUGGUGCUGGGAUGUACAGGGAGUGAGUACUGCGGCUGCAUUUCUCUCCUGUUGGAGGGAGGUUCUCACCUCCAGCUUCUGAUGAUGUCAGUGGAGCGAGAAUGCCAACCCAGAGGGCCGUGACACUCCAGCCCUUUUUUU